Molecule: ribosomal RNA, 497 nt
Filed under: uncultured bacterium
Lineage: Bacteria
Description: partial 16S ribosomal RNA
Rfam family: Bacterial small subunit ribosomal RNA
Source: RNAcentral
GAUGAACGCUGGCGGCGUGCCUAAUACAUACAAGUCGAGCGAACAGAUGAGGAGCUUGCUCCUCUGACGUUAGCGGCGGACGGGUGAGUAACACGUGGAUAACCUACCUAUAAGACUGGGAUAACUUCGGGAAACCGGGGCUAAUACCGGAUAAUAUAUUGAACCGCAUGGUUCAAUAGUGAAAGACGGUUUUGCUGUCACUUAUAGAUGGAUCCGCGCCGCAUUAGCUAGUUGGUAAGGUAACGGCUUACCAAGGCAACGAUGCGUAGCCGACCUGAGAGGGUGAUCGGCCACACUGGAACUGAGACACGGUCCAGACUCCUACGGGAGGCAGCAGUAGGGAAUCUUCCGCAAUGGGCGAAAGCCUGACGGAGCAACGCCGCGUGAGUGAUGAAGGUCUUCGGAUCGUAAAACUCUGUUAUUAGGGAAGAACAAAUGUGUAAGUAACUAUGCACGUCUUGACGGUACCUAAUCAGAAAGCCACGGCUAACUACGUG